UUUCUGAUGCCUGCACCAGCUGUUAGAAAAAGGCCUCUUCUGGUCAAUACUGAAGAAGUCGAUGCUAACCUGGAUGAAUGGAUGAAAGAUGCAAGCUACCCAGAGACAGGGUUUGGAAAAAAAAAUGCGAUAACGAAAGCAUAUCCUUAAUAUUAUAGUCAGUGCUGCCUCUCGACAUCUGCCUGUUUCUGUUUUGACAACAGUCUCACAACAACAAGAAAUAAAAGCAGGAGUAGGUCAUCAUGUCUGCUCUGCCAAUCAUUAAGGUAGAGAAAUCCUCUUGCUUUUACACUGCCCCUUCUCCAAAAGUUAAUCUUGAAGAGCAAACUGAUUCUCCAGUAGGGGUGGAUCUGAUUAAAGGGAUGUGAUCAUGGACACAGGUUUCAUGACCUGCCAAGCAACUGCC
Molecule: long non-coding RNA, 406 nt
Organism: Pristis pectinata (smalltooth sawfish)
Lineage: Eukaryota; Metazoa; Chordata; Chondrichthyes; Rhinopristiformes; Pristidae
Exons: 3
Source: RefSeq, a predicted model, not a curated record